AGAUGGAAAUGCAGAAAUCACCCGUCUUCUGCGUCGCUCACGCUGGGAGCUGUAGACCGGAGCUGUUCCUAUUCGGCCAUCUUGGCUCCUCCGCCUCAGAGCCAGGUGCAAGUUGAUAAAAGAAUUCUGGAAAUUGAAGGCCAAGGAAGAGUGACUCAAAAAUAAGAAGCAGGCUGAAAAAUGAGAUGAGGAGACCGAGGCUCGGAGAGGCUUAUGCAUUUGCCCAAGACUCUACAACUCCACAACUUAACAGGCAAUUGCAUCUAGCAUAUAAUGUGUUGGUUAUCCCCAGAACACAGAGCAGUGCAUCUCCACAGCGAGAAUUCCAGAACAGCUCCUUCACGUUGCUUUCGCUUAGCUGGCGUGUGUGAGGAUGAAUGAAGAGAGUUAAAAGCCUCCCAACCUCUGGCGCGCUGGAACAGUUCCCUGAAUGUGGGGCUGCUGUGAACUGCUGUCAUCGCAACAUCUAUCAAAAACAUCUCUUGCCCCCAGGACACGACAGAGUUUUGAAAGUGUUUCUGCCCUACGUUGCUUAUGCAGAUACUUGGGAGAGAGCUUCCUCCAUUUCUGUCUGGUUUUUGGACAAAUUCUUCAGAUUGUAAGAUGUUCAGCAUUCUGGGUUGUUUGACUGUGGAAACGCACGGGAGCUCUUGCGGUGUAGACUCUAGCCCCAGUUCUAUUGCCAAUCUGUCAGGGCCCUAGCAGGCAUCACUGCUGUUCUUUAAGACUUACUCUUGCCAACCUCCUGUUGCACCUCUGGAAACAGGACGAGAAUGAUUUUUUCUGCCAGUGAGUUGAGAAAAGUUGUCACACUGAAAGUACCAACUGAAUAAGGUCAGAGAAUCAAGGAAGCAAGUGCCUGUGGAGGUUGAUGAAUCAACAGAAAAAUAUUACCAUAUUGGAUGUCCACCCGCCUAUGUUUAAAUCUUCAUCUGAGAAAGGGGUGAAGUGUUGGAAAGCAUUUAAAAUCUGCAAAGAUGGGAAAUGAGAUAACGACCUGGGUCCUCUGGGACAGGACAUGCCAGUGCUGGUUCUUGAGAGGACAGCUGCUCCAACAGCCGGGCUCUCCAGAAUAUGCCGCCGUGGGCUUCGGCCUGGCAGCAGGGCCCCUGGAGGAGCCUGGCACCCAACAGGCGCUCUGUAAAUAUUUGGGAAGUGAGUGGACGAGUGACUGUCCCUGGUUUGGGCUGGUGCCAUUUAGAGGGCAACCAGAGUGCAGGGAAGGGAGGAGCUUGGGCAAGAGGGACAUUGCUGUCGCUGGUUGAUGGUGAGAUGGCACUUAAUGAGAACCUGGUCAUUGGGAAAGCCCCAAGCCUGCGUCUUGCUGUGAUGCCUUCCCCAUUAUGAAGGGUCCAUUGGCAUGGGAGUGGGGAGACCUGGACUCAGAGAAGCUACAAGGGCAAGGGUGGAAAGGCAUAGCUUCUGCAAGUUGAUGCUGAAAAAGAUCCAAGACUCAUAUUCAGCAGACAGCCCAUAACCAAGAGCCAAGGAAAACUUUGCCUCUGCUUCUUCUACUGGACUCUCUUGGGCUAUCCUUUCAUGUCUUUAUUUUUCUCAAAAUAGCUCUAUGUUCCUUUCUUUAAAAAUUAAAAUAUAGCAAAAUUGACUUUCGGGGGUUUUAUAGCUCCAUGAGCUUUAACAUAUAUGUAGGAUCAUGUAACCACUACUAUUAUCAGAAUACAGUACAGUUCCAUGACCCCAAAGAACUCCUUCAUGCUACUACUCCCUUUGUAGUCAUACUCUCUCCAUAUUUCUAACCCCGGCAACCAAUGAUCUUUUCUCUAUUACUAUAGUUUUAUCUUUUUGAGGAUGUCAUAUGAAUGAAUUUAUACAGCAUGUAAUUUUCUG
RNAcentral lists this long non-coding RNA (1848 nucleotides) under Homo sapiens (human). RNAcentral describes it as "HSALNT0184630". The record is from RNAcentral. Lineage: Eukaryota; Metazoa; Chordata; Mammalia; Primates; Hominidae.